ACGGAAGCCUCUCAGGCUCUGUCCUUUUUGUUUGCCUUCGAAGAGUUAACUCCCUAAUUGUUUUCCGCACAAACACACGUGAAAGGGAGUGGUAACAACGCACUUUACAGCUUCUACCAUCAAUGUUUUGAGGACCUGUGAGAACAAAAGCUCGUGUAACUUUUUGGUAGACCAACAUUAUCUGCGUCACAAAAAUGAAACUGUAUUUUCUCAAGUAUUCAAGCGUGUUUCAGUUUUUCUUGCCGUUAAUACAUUAUACUAAAAAUGCAUAACUUUGGCUGAAACGCAAGAAAAGGAUUCUAUCAGUGCUUCAUCAUUGUUUUGGUUGUAUUCCCACGAAGGCGUUGGCUUGGGGAAUUGAUUGCACCUGUUUCUGAUUUCUUUGUAGACAUAACUGGCACCGAUCCAUGAACUUUCUAGAAUUAUUAAGCCUUGUGCAUAGCAGGGGAUUGUCACCCAGAAGUGUGUUCUAUUUGGGACUGGAACCUGUUACUGAUUUUGGUGAUAAGUGUCAUACCUCUCAACUGUCCCUGAAUUUCACCCAAGUUUUAGCUCUGCCCCACUUAAUCUGUCCUAAAACUAAAGCUCUUAGAGAAAAUGUCAUGAUUUCAAACUAAGGCUCUAAGUCUUCAGUUCUUCAUAUGAGCUGGCUCAUGCUAUUCUGGAAGUGGUCUGUGUAAUUGUCAAGCCUAUGAAUGGAACAUCUGGAAAAUUUUCAUAUAUCUAUAUACCAUUACUGUCCAAAAGCUCAUAUGAAAUCCUUGUAGCAUUGAUUACGUGAAGUAAUAAUUCCAGCAAAGAUCUCACCCAGUGAAUCAUUAUACAGUUUGUAUAAAAUAUUCGUAUAUGUUUACAUUGCAUUUUUGGGUAUAAGUAAAUGCACUGUUGCCUUCAAUACAUAUUUUCCUCAAAAACAAUAUCAUCAUCGUAGUAUCUUAGAUGAGAUAUUUCUUUCUUAACUUUUAAUUCUGUGCAAUCAGUAAAACCUAGUUAAGUCACACUGUUAUAUAUUUCAUCAAAGAUGAUAGAAGUGGAUAUAAAUGGCAAAAAGCCAGAACAAAAUUUUUAAACAGUAAACUAACAAGUGAUGUAAUGCAUGCGACUUACAGUUUAUGUCAGAAGAAAAAAGAGAGAGCAUGCUAUUGGUAACUGCUGGAAUUACUUAAAGAUCGUCUGUAAAGGAUCUUUAAGGUGAAUAUAUUUUUACCCAUCAAAGUAAAGCAAAUCUUUGUGCUUGCAAUCCCUAUCUGGUAUCAAAGUAAAGUGUCUUUAUUUCAAUUUUCAGUAGAAAAAUAACCUUUGAAUGUCCUACAGAAUGCAGAAGUUUAGUGCAAAUGCCUACCUUUGCAUUCACUUGGCAGGGAUGUUCGUCACAUGCUAAUAAUGUUUCUUGGAGUUUCUGAAAGUCCUACUUAAGACGUA
This is a long non-coding RNA of Protopterus annectens (West African lungfish), 1422 nucleotides long. RefSeq lists it as uncharacterized. The record is from RefSeq and is a predicted model, not a curated record. The transcript is spliced from 3 exons. NCBI's taxonomy places the organism in Eukaryota, Metazoa, Chordata, Ceratodontiformes, Protopteridae.